AUACGUAGGGGGCGAGCGUUGUCCGGAAUGAUUGGGCGUAAAGGGCGCGUAGGCGGCGCGGUAAGUCUGGAGUGAAAGUCCUGCUUUCAAGGUGGGAAUUGCUUUGGAUACUGCCGCGCUUGAGUGCAGGAGAGGUUAUCGGAAUUCCCGGUGUAGCGGUGAAAUGCGUAGAGAUCGGGAGGAACACCAGUGGCGAAGGCGGGUAACUGGACUGCAACUGACGCUGAGGCGCGAAAGUGUGGGGAGCAAACAGGAUUAGAUACCCUGGUAGUCCACACUGUAAACGAUGAAUGCUAGGUGUAGGGGGUAUCGACCCCUUCUGGGCCGCAGUCAACACAAUAAGCAUUCCGCCUGGGGAGUACGGCCGCAAGGUUGAAACUCAAAGGAAUUGGCGGG
This 396-nucleotide ribosomal RNA is filed under the name uncultured bacterium. Its description in RNAcentral is "partial 16S ribosomal RNA". It matches the Rfam family "Bacterial small subunit ribosomal RNA", at positions 523 to 917 of the family's 1533-position model. The record is from RNAcentral.